AUCACCGACUCUCCAGCAAGUGACACUAACAGCUGGGUAACACACUGGAAGCCUUAGGAGAAGAGGGUGAGAUAUCUCCUCUAAAGGAGGCAACUCUGGCAAGAUCUUGGCUCCAACUGUUGUUAAAACUAUUUUUUCAAAACAGCAGAGAUGUGGUAGAGGAACCUCCCUAUGGAUAUUCCUGUCACUUACUAUAAAUUAUGGAGAAAAUCACAGACCUACUCCUUGGAAAUACCAGAAACAUGCAAGAGCACAGGCCAGAGCAACCUACAGAAGGGCACAAAGUGUGUGAGAACUGAUGUUUGGUCCAGAAGAUGCAUACAUUCGUGCUUGUCUUAAAACAUUUAGACAAUGACCAUGAAAGAAUACUCCCAUAUUUAGUCCAUGGCUAGGACCUCAAAAGACAAGAUAGCCUCUGAAUGUCUGAAAGAACAGACAAAUGUAACAGCAUGGCAGACGUCAUGCUUC
Lepidothrix coronata (blue-crowned manakin) is the source of this 468-nucleotide long non-coding RNA. RefSeq lists it as uncharacterized. The transcript is spliced from 3 exons. The record is from RefSeq and is a predicted model, not a curated record. Lineage: Eukaryota; Metazoa; Chordata; Aves; Passeriformes; Pipridae.